This 253-nucleotide ribosomal RNA is filed under the name uncultured bacterium. RNAcentral's name for it is "partial 16S ribosomal RNA". It matches the Rfam family "Bacterial small subunit ribosomal RNA", at positions 524 to 776 of the family's 1533-position model. The record is from RNAcentral.
UACAGAGGGGGCAAGCGUUGUUCGGAAUUACUGGGCGUAAAGGGCGCGUAGGCGGCCUUCUAAGUCGAACGUGAAAUCCCCGGGCUCAACCCGGGAACUGCGUCCGAUACUGGCAGGCUUGAAUCCGGGAGAGGGAUGCGGAAUUCCAGGUGUAGCGGUGAAAUGCGUAGAGAUCAUGAGGAAGACCAGUGGCGAAGGCGGGUCUCUGGACAGUUCCUGACACUGAGGCACGAAGGCCAGGGGAGCAAACGGG